UGCUGAAGAGGAGUGAGUGAACUUAACCACUAUGACAGUGGGCUGGCCCCUGAGAGAUCAAUAUUUUAGAAAAGAGUAGAACCUUUGCUGGAAAAUAGUAAGAGUAACAACAAAAAUAGUAAGCAUUUCUUGAGGUGCUUAUAUGUUAGGCAUUAAGCAUAUUUUCUAAUACCUUACUUACUUCUAACAACAAACUUCUAAACAGGUCUUAAUACUAUUACUCCUAUUUUAGAAGGAAAUUGGGGCAUAUGGAGGUUAAAUAACUUGUCCAAGGUCACUCAGUAGAAUGUGAAGCUAACUAGCCUGAGUCUAAAACCUACACCCUUAACCAUGACACAAAGUAGCCUCUUUAAGGGAAAAGCAGAUCUAGAAGGAAUAACCAAGUUUUCUCUCUCAAGUUCGUCUUAUUAUUUUAAAAUAUAGGUUAUAUCAUUUGGGUGUGGUGAGGCCAACAGAUCAGUUCAACUGGCACUGAAAGACUGUUGAUUAUACUCAGAUUCCAAGGGAAGGGGGCAAUCCAUGCCCCGGGGGCCGGCAGAGCACAGAGGCAGCACAAGGAGGGAGAGAAAGAGGAGAAAUGAUGAGCAAGAGCCUUUACUGUGGUUUUUGUGUGAAGGAAUGGGCAAGGCAAGGUUGUUCUCAUCUCAAAUGAUUCCUCUUUCACUGGCGGCUUGAAGUUUCAUAGAACUACACUCUCUUCAAUCUGGAAACACAAAUCUGGAUUUUUUUUUUUUCCUGUGAAUAUAUUUUGGAGUGGUUCAACUCCUCCAAACCUUCACAGAACUAGUGUUCCUAUGAUCUACAGACUCAACGAUUUUUCUGUUUCUUCAUCCUUAAGAGAG
Non-coding RNA from Equus caballus (horse), 842 nucleotides. The record is from RefSeq and is a predicted model, not a curated record. NCBI's taxonomy places the organism in Eukaryota, Metazoa, Chordata, Mammalia, Perissodactyla, Equidae.